UUGUUUGUCACUUCACACUACUUGAGAUGAUGAUUUUUUUUUUUUUUGUAAUUGGCCGGUCCUGCACAACCCUUUCGCUUGUAGGUUACUGGUAGCCUCUUCCCUUUUGCCUCCUCUUUAAAGCAGGACAAUGGACCAACCAAGCUGGUAUUAACCAGUUUCUGAAGCACUUGUAGAGCACAGUGAGAAAGAAGUACCAUACAGAAACACCGUAUCAGUGCCCAUGGUAAUGUAGGCCAAUACACAGUGCCAAUUUUUAUUUUCCUAUGUAAACACGCAAUAACGUCCCUCCCUACAUACAGCAGCAAUCUGUUGUCACCUGCACGUCGAUGUUGUCCAAGUCGACGCAGGCGCAUUACCAGUCUGUCUGCCUCAGAAACCUCCCAGUCACGUUGGAUCCGCUAGUUCCUUACGCUGAACUACUCGUCAAAUUGGGGAUCGACAAUGGUUUUGUAGACUCCGCUUUGGCAAACAGUUCCACGGUUGAGACGUCAUCUUGCGUCUUGGAUCUUGUGAACGCAUUCGCCAUGAAAUUCCUGAUGAAGAGAUGAACCGCUAGGACAGGCGAUUUACAUCUGAUGUUUCCCUCAAGUCGACGGAAUGGGAGCCAGAGAUAGAAUUCACAAUUGCCUCGUCUGAUGUUGCAGUCUGGUAACUGGUUCCUUCUGUGUAUGGUGUAUGCGACCCUGACUGCGUGCCAUGACUUUAACAGGCAGACGCAGACGGUCUCAAUCGUAGGGACGACCAGGUAGGGCAAUUGUGCUUCCUGCUAGGCGCUGAAUCCCUUUUGCCUCCUAUUCCAAAUUUGCUAGUUGAUCAUUCCCUGUCUUUUCAUACUCAUACUGAGCUAUUUCUCUAGUGUUUUGUGUGC
RNAcentral lists this long non-coding RNA (871 nucleotides) under Setaria viridis. RNAcentral describes it as "long non-coding RNA (SVIR_LNC008682)". Lineage: Eukaryota; Viridiplantae; Streptophyta; Magnoliopsida; Poales; Poaceae. The record is from RNAcentral.